UGACAUACAUCUGUGUUUGUUACAACCUCGUGCUGAAAGGUUCAAGAAGAUUCAUUCAUUGCAGAAGUCACUAAACCGAGGUCUCAAUAGCAAGAUGAAAAAUCAGGAAGCACCAAAAGGAAAGGAGAUGAAUAUAAAUCGCAUGUUCUGGAAGUAAUCCCAUCAACAAAUGCAGCUCUUUUAUUUGAAAGAUAAGCAUUGUACUGCAAACUAUUUAAGAACCAAAUUCAAACAAGUUCUCAAGAGAAGCUAUUGUGGAUCAUUAUCCAUUUGUUGCACUUGACCAGAGUAUGCACAUUAAGGUCAUAAAGAAUCUUUUGGUUUUCAAUAAUGAUCUGAUUUUGACUGAAUUUGUAAUUAUCAAGACAAUCCUAUAAAUACAAUGACACAUACUACAAGAAUAAAUUGAGGUUACAUGAAGGUGGAUUCUCCAGGGCUGCUUGCUACCAUGAUGUGCUGCUAGUACAGAAAGUUGGAGCCAGCAUCACAGUUUAUGUGUAGCCCUCAUCCUGAGAGCCUCAGCGGAUUCAGACUGUGUUCCCAGGUGAGGGACACAUAAGAUCUUCCCACCAGGAGUGAGUGGCCUUCAUCAUUCUGGCAAAUUAAGAGCUUUAAUACUACUUGGCACAAAAUUCCUUUCCAAUGGAUGUAUCUUUUUUCAAAAAUGUCUGUUUUGGUUCUGAUAAUUAGUUAUAGAAUUGGCUGAAAUAAAGAUGUGUGAGUGGGAGUCACCUGUAAAAAUAUAUACUUGAAUGAUUUCCCUCUGAUGGGUCUGUUUGUUACCAUGGCAACAAUCUGUUCAAGGAUUUAAUGAGAAAA
Mesocricetus auratus (golden hamster) is the source of this 819-nucleotide long non-coding RNA. RefSeq lists it as uncharacterized. The transcript is spliced from 4 exons. The record is from RefSeq and is a predicted model, not a curated record. Lineage: Eukaryota; Metazoa; Chordata; Mammalia; Rodentia; Cricetidae.